RNAcentral lists this ribosomal RNA (1396 nucleotides) under uncultured bacterium. RNAcentral's name for it is "bacterial SSU rRNA". It matches the Rfam family "Bacterial small subunit ribosomal RNA". The record is from RNAcentral.
AGAGUUUGAUCCUGGCUCAGGAUGAACGCUGGCGGCGUGCCUAACACAUGCAAGUCGAGCGAAGCACUUUGAUUGGAUUCUUCGGAUGAAGAUGAUUGUGACUGAGCGGCGGACGGGUGAGUAACGCGUGGGCAACCUGCCUUACACAGGGGGAUAACGGUUAGAAAUGACUGCUAAUACCGCAUAAGACCGCGGAACCGCAUGGUUCUGAGGUAAAAACUCCGGUGGUGUAAGAUGGGCCCGCGUCUGAUUAGGUAGUUGGUGAGGUAACGGCUCACCAAGCCGACGAUCAGUAGCCGACCUGAGAGGGUGACCGGCCACAUUGGGACUGAGACACGGCCCAGACUCCUACGGGAGGCAGCAGUGGGGAAUAUUGCACAAUGGGGGAAACCCUGAUGCAGCGACGCCGCGUGAGCGAUGAAGUAUUUCGGUAUGUAAAGCUCUAUCAGCAGGGAAGAAAAUGACGGUACCUGACUAAGAAGCCCCGGCUAACUACGUGCCAGCAGCCGCGGUAAUACGUAGGGGGCAAGCGUUAUCCGGACUUACUGGGUGUAAAGGGAGCGUAGACGGUCCUGCAAGCCAGAUGUGAAAGCCCGGGGCUCAACCCCGGGACUGCAUUUGGAACUGUAAGGCUAGAGUGUCGGAGAGGCAGGCGGAAUUCCUAGUGUAGCGGUGAAAUGCGUAGAUAUUAGGAGGAACACCAGUGGCGAAGGCGGCCUGCUGGACGAUGACUGACGUUGAGGCUCGAAAGCGUGGGGAGCAAACAGGAUUAGAUACCCUGGUAGUCCACGCCGUAAACGAUGACUACUAGGUGUCGGGUGGGCAAGCCAUUCGGUGCCGCCAGCCAACGCAAUAAGUAGUCCACCCUGGGGAGUACGUUCGCAAGAAUGAAACUCAAAGGAAUUGACCGGGGACCCGCACAAAGCGGUGGGAGCAUGUGGUUUUAUUUCGAAGCAACGCGAAGAACCUAACCUGAUCUUGACAUCCCUCUGACCGGCAAGUAAUGUUGCCUUUCCUUCGGGACAGAGGAGACAGGUGGUGCAUGGUUGUCGUCAGCUCGUGUCGUGAGAUGUUGGGUUAAGUCCCGCAACGAGCGCAACCCUUAUCUUCAGUAGCCAGCAUUUAGGAUGGGCACUCUGGAGAGACUGCCAGGGAUAACCUGGAGGAAGGUGGGGAUGACGUCAAAUCAUCAUGCCCCUUAUGACCAGGGCUACACACGUGCUACAAUGGCGUAAACAAAGGGAAGCGAACAUGUGAGUGCAAGCGAAUCCCAAAAAUAACGUCUCAGUUCGGAUUGUAGUCUGCAACUCGACUACAUGAAGCUGGAAUCGCUAGUAAUCGCGAAUCAGAAUGUCGCGGUGAAUACGUUCCCGGGUCUUGCACACACCGCCCGUCA